Molecule: non-coding RNA, 716 nt
Filed under: Aspergillus rambellii
Lineage: Eukaryota; Fungi; Ascomycota; Eurotiomycetes; Eurotiales; Aspergillaceae
Description: Bacterial large subunit ribosomal RNA
Rfam family: Bacterial large subunit ribosomal RNA (bases 1-619)
Source: Rfam by way of RNAcentral
UAGCUUAGAUAAACCAAUUAUGAAAAAAUGAAUUAGUAUCUAGAAUUAGACCCGAAGGCUAGUGAUCUUACCAUGGUCAGGGUUAUAAAAGCCCGAACGGGUUAUCGUUGUAUAGAUAUCCGAAGAAUUGUGGUAAGUUAGUGAAAGACAAAACUGACUAGUAUAGCUGGUUUUCCGCGAAACCUAUAUGAGUAGGUAAUUUAAUUAACAUCUUAGCAGGUACAGAACUGUGAUCUCGGAUAAUAUCAAUUGAUUUUAUCAACAUCGGGGGGUUGUAGUGACUUUACCGGAGAGUAUUUGCACUCGGAAUGGCAAAGAUGAAUGUUGAAUAAUCGGACAUAGUGCGAUAAGGUUGUAUGUCAAAAGGGAAACAGCCCAGAACAAGUGUUAAGGUUCCAAAAUUAUUGUUGAGUGAAAUUAAGGAUGUUCUUUUUUAAUACAAUCAGGAAAUAGGCUUAGAAGCGGCCAUUUUUUGAAGACCUCGUAACAGAGCACUGAUUAAAAUUUUAGAAAAAAACACCGAAAAUUUAACGGAUCUAAAUAAUAUACCGAAACCUUGUACACAUAUUAUAAUAAUAAUUAUGUAUUGUAUAUGUGGGGUAGCGGAACAUUGGAUAGAUAUUAUUUAAUAUUUCUUCUAAGAAAUAUUAAGUUUGUUUAUUUUUAUCAUUUUGAUUUAAAUAAUUUAUUAAUAUAAUCCAAGAGAGAAUGCUGAC